GUGAAAGGCUGGUCUUGAAGAGCCUAGGUUCACUCAUGACUUAGUGUGCAAGACCGGCUCUCCUCUUUCAACAAUGUUCUAAGAGUGGGAUUUUCGCUUUUCUGGAUUUCCCACCAAUUCCUUAGAUCCCUAGUCUUAGAGCUAAAGGAAGUCCUCUAACUAAUCUAAUCCACCGAAGGAGAAGGCGGAGUUCUCUUUCCUCUGCUAUCAAUAAUAAGGAAUACCAGGCUGCCGUUAAGGUAGCUCACCCGGCUCAACAAUAGAAAUCCCUGCAGUUCAGCCACCCGCGGCUAAUUCAAUUCACUCUUCUUGAAGCUCUUGUGAAAUGGUCUCUGUCCUUCGCUUUCCCUUCCAUUCUUAUGGUAACUAGGCCUGAUAGCAUCUUUGCUAGUCUU
This 395-nucleotide long non-coding RNA is filed under the name Nicotiana benthamiana. RNAcentral describes it as "long non-coding RNA (NBEN_LNC017962)". The record is from RNAcentral. Lineage: Eukaryota; Viridiplantae; Streptophyta; Magnoliopsida; Solanales; Solanaceae.